UACGUAGGUGGCAAGCGUUAUCCGGAAUUAUUGGGCGUAAAGAGCGCGCAGGUGGUUGAUUAAGUCUGAUGUGAAAGCCCACGGCUUAACCGUGGAGGGUCAUUGGAAACUGGUCGACUUGAGUGCAGAAGAGGGAAGUGGAAUUCCAUGUGUAGCGGUGAAAUGCGUAGAGAUAUGGAGGAACACCAGUGGCGAAGGCGGCCAACUGGGCUUUUACUGACGCUGAGGCUCGAAAGCGUGGGGAGCAAACAGGAUUAGAUACCCU
This 265-nucleotide ribosomal RNA is filed under the name uncultured prokaryote. RNAcentral describes it as "partial 16S ribosomal RNA". It matches the Rfam family "Bacterial small subunit ribosomal RNA", at positions 524 to 788 of the family's 1533-position model. The record is from RNAcentral.